CGAAGGCAGCCUGCUGGGGCUGUUCUGACCGUUCAGGACGAAAAGCUGGGGGAGCAACCCGGAUUAGAUACCCGAGUAGUUCCCAGCCGUAAACCCAUGGGCGCUAGACGUCGUCCGUAAGGGCGGUGUCUCAGCUAACGCGUUAAGCGCCCGCCUGGGGAGUACGGGCGCAAGCCUGAAACUCAAAGGAAUUGGCGGGGGCCCGCACAACCGGUGGAGCGUCUGGUUCGAUUCGAUGCUAACCGAAAAACCUUACCCGGGCUUGACAUGAUGGGAAACCCUUGCGAAAGCGAGGGGUGCCGUCCUCUGGACGGAAUCCCAUCACAGGUGGUGCAUGGCCGUCGUCAGCUCGUGUCGUGAGAUGUUGGGUUAAGUCCCGCAACGAGCGCAACCCCUGCCCUUAGUUGCCACUCUACGGAGGGCACUCUAAGGGGACUGCCGGCGAUAAGCCGGAGGAAGGUGGGGAUGACGUCAGGUCAGUAUGCCCUUUAUGCCCGGGGCAACACAGGCGCUACAGUGGCCGGGACAAUGGGAAGCGACCCAGAAAUGGGGAGCAAAUCCUCAAACCCGGUCAUGGUGCAGAUUGAGGGCUGAAACUCGCCCUCAUGAAGCCGGAAUCGGUAGUAAUGGCGGAUCAGCUAAGCCGCCGUGAAUACGUUCUCGGGCCUUGCACACACCGCCCGUCACGCCACGGAAGUCAGUCUUCCCGGAAGCCCUCGAGCUAACCCGCAAGGGAGGCAGAGGACGAUGGGAAGGCUGGCAACUGGGGCGAAGUCGUAACAAGGUAGCCGUAGGGGAACCUGCGGCUGGAUCACCUCCUU
RNAcentral lists this ribosomal RNA (821 nucleotides) under uncultured Aquificales bacterium. RNAcentral describes it as "bacterial SSU rRNA". It matches the Rfam family "Bacterial small subunit ribosomal RNA", at positions 716 to 1532 of the family's 1533-position model. Lineage: Bacteria; Pseudomonadati; Aquificota; Aquificia; Aquificales. The record is from RNAcentral.